Molecule: ribosomal RNA, 556 nt
Filed under: uncultured ciliate
Lineage: Eukaryota; Ciliophora
Description: SSU rRNA
Rfam family: Eukaryotic small subunit ribosomal RNA
Source: RNAcentral
UGGCUACCACAUCUAAGGAGGGCAGCAGGCGCGUAAAUUACCCAAUCCUAAUUCAGGGAGGUAGUGACAAGAAAUAACAACUCGGACCUCACACGAGGUUACGGGAUUGCAAUGAGAACAAUUUAAACCACUUAUCGAGCAACAAUUGGAGGGCAAGUCUGGUGCCAGCAGCCGCGGUAAUUCCAGCUCCAAUAGCGUAUAUUAAAGUUGUUGCAGUUAAAAAGCUCGUAGUUGAAUUUCUGGCGAGCGCUGUUCUUGGCUCUCUGAGUCGGCUCAGUGUUUCGUCAUCCGUAUGGGAAGCUAGCUCGGCCUUCACUGGUCGGCUAGUGGAUCAUACACUUUACUUUGAAAAAAUUAGAGUGUUUCAGGCAGGCAAUUGCUUGGAUACCUCAGCAUGGAAUAAUGGAAUAGGACUUUGAUCUAUUUGUUGGUUUCUCGAGAUCAAAGUAAUGAUUAAUAGGGAUAGUUGGGGGCAUUCGUAUUUAAUUGUCAGAGGUGAAAUUCUUGGAUUUAUUAAAGACGAACUUAUGCGAAAGCAUUUGCCAAGGAUGUUUUC